Molecule: ribosomal RNA, 2920 nt
Filed under: Staphylococcus aureus
Lineage: Bacteria; Bacillati; Bacillota; Bacilli; Caryophanales; Staphylococcaceae
Description: 23S ribosomal RNA
Rfam family: Bacterial large subunit ribosomal RNA
Source: RNAcentral
UUAAGUUAUUAAGGGCGCACGGUGGAUGCCUUGGCACUAGAAGCCGAUGAAGGACGUUACUAACGACGAUAUGCUUUGGGGAGCUGUAAGUAAGCUUUGAUCCAGAGAUUUCCGAAUGGGGAAACCCAGCAUGAGUUAUGUCAUGUUAUCGAUAUGUGAAUACAUAGCAUAUCAGAAGGCACACCCGGAGAACUGAAACAUCUUAGUACCCGGAGGAAGAGAAAGAAAAUUCGAUUCCCUUAGUAGCGGCGAGCGAAACGGGAAGAGCCCAAACCAACAAGCUUGCUUGUUGGGGUUGUAGGACACUCUAUACGGAGUUACAAAGGACGACAUUAGACGAAUCAUCUGGAAAGAUGAAUCAAAGAAGGUAAUAAUCCUGUAGUCGAAAAUGUUGUCUCUCUUGAGUGGAUCCUGAGUACGACGGAGCACGUGAAAUUCCGUCGGAAUCUGGGAGGACCAUCUCCUAAGGCUAAAUACUCUCUAGUGACCGAUAGUGAACCAGUACCGUGAGGGAAAGGUGAAAAGCACCCCGGAAGGGGAGUGAAAUAGAACCUGAAACCGUGUGCUUACAAGUAGUCAGAGCCCGUUAAUGGGUGAUGGCGUGCCUUUUGUAGAAUGAACCGGCGAGUUACGAUUUGAUGCAAGGUUAAGCAGUAAAUGUGGAGCCGUAGCGAAAGCGAGUCUGAAUAGGGCGUUUAGUAUUUGGUCGUAGACCCGAAACCAGGUGAUCUACCCUUGGUCAGGUUGAAGUUCAGGUAACACUGAAUGGAGGACCGAACCGACUUACGUUGAAAAGUGAGCGGAUGAACUGAGGGUAGCGGAGAAAUUCCAAUCGAACCUGGAGAUAGCUGGUUCUCUCCGAAAUAGCUUUAGGGCUAGCCUCAAGUGAUGAUUAUUGGAGGUAGAGCACUGUUUGGACGAGGGGCCCCUCUCGGGUUACCGAAUUCAGACAAACUCCGAAUGCCAAUUAAUUUAACUUGGGAGUCAGAACAUGGGUGAUAAGGUCCGUGUUCGAAAGGGAAACAGCCCAGACCACCAGCUAAGGUCCCAAAAUAUAUGUUAAGUGGAAAAGGAUGUGGCGUUGCCCAGACAACUAGGAUGUUGGCUUAGAAGCAGCCAUCAUUUAAAGAGUGCGUAAUAGCUCACUAGUCGAGUGACACUGCGCCGAAAAUGUACCGGGGCUAAACAUAUUACCGAAGCUGUGGAUUGUCCUUUGGACAAUGGUAGGAGAGCGUUCUAAGGGCGUUGAAGCAUGAUCGUAAGGACAUGUGGAGCGCUUAGAAGUGAGAAUGCCGGUGUGAGUAGCGAAAGACGGGUGAGAAUCCCGUCCACCGAUUGACUAAGGUUUCCAGAGGAAGGCUCGUCCGCUCUGGGUUAGUCGGGUCCUAAGCUGAGGCCGACAGGCGUAGGCGAUGGAUAACAGGUUGAUAUUCCUGUACCACCUAUAAUCGUUUUAAUCGAUGGGGGGACGCAGUAGGAUAGGCGAAGCGUGCGAUUGGAUUGCACGUCUAAGCAGUAAGGCUGAGUAUUAGGCAAAUCCGGUACUCGUUAAGGCUGAGCUGUGAUGGGGAGAAGACAUUGNGUCUUCGAGUCGUUGAUUUCACACUGCCGAGAAAAGCCUCUAGAUAGAAAAUAGGUGCCCGUACCGCAAACCGACACAGGUAGUCAAGAUGAGAAUUCUAAGGUGAGCGAGCGAACUCUCGUUAAGGAACUCGGCAAAAUGACCCCGUAACUUCGGGAGAAGGGGUGCUCUUUAGGGUUAACGCCCAGAAGAGCCGCAGUGAAUAGGCCCAAGCGACUGUUUAUCAAAAACACAGGUCUCUGCUAAACCGUAAGGUGAUGUAUAGGGGCUGACGCCUGCCCGGUGCUGGAAGGUUAAGAGGAGUGGUUAGCUUCUGCGAAGCUACGAAUCGAAGCCCCAGUAAACGGCGGCCGUAACUAUAACGGUCCUAAGGUAGCGAAAUUCCUUGUCGGGUAAGUUCCGACCCGCACGAAAGGCGUAACGAUUUGGGCACUGUCUCAACGAGAGACUCGGUGAAAUCAUAGUACCUGUGAAGAUGCAGGUUACCCGCGACAGGACGGAAAGACCCCGUGGAGCUUUACUGUAGCCUGAUAUUGAAAUUCGGCACAGCUUGUACAGGAUAGGUAGGAGCCUUUGAAACGUGAGCGCUAGCUUACGUGGAGGCGCUGGUGGGAUACUACCCUAGCUGUGUUGGCUUUCUAACCCGCACCACUUAUCGUGGUGGGAGACAGUGUCAGGCGGGCAGUUUGACUGGGGCGGUCGCCUCCUAAAAGGUAACGGAGGCGCUCAAAGGUUCCCUCAGAAUGGUUGGAAAUCAUUCAUAGAGUGUAAAGGCAUAAGGGAGCUUGACUGCGAGACCUACAAGUCGAGCAGGGUCGAAAGACGGACUUAGUGAUCCGGUGGUUCCGCAUGGAAGGGCCAUCGCUCAACGGAUAAAAGCUACCCCGGGGAUAACAGGCUUAUCUCCCCCAAGAGUUCACAUCGACGGGGAGGUUUGGCACCUCGAUGUCGGCUCAUCGCAUCCUGGGGCUGUAGUCGGUCCCAAGGGUUGGGCUGUUCGCCCAUUAAAGCGGUACGCGAGCUGGGUUCAGAACGUCGUGAGACAGUUCGGUCCUAUCCGUCGUGGGCGUAGGAAAUUUGAGAGGAGCUGUCCUUAGUACGAGAGGACCGGGAUGGACAUACCUCUGGUGUACCAGUUGUCGUGCCAACGGCAUAGCUGGGUAGCUAUGUGUGGACGGGAUAAGUGCUGAAAGCAUCUAAGCAUGAAGCCCCCCUCAAGAUGAGAUUUCCCAACUUCGGUUAUAAGAUCCCUCAAAGAUGAUGAGGUUAAUAGGUUCGAGGUGGAAGCAUGGUGACAUGUGGAGCUGACGAAUACUAAUCGAUCGAAGACUUAAUCAA